AGGAAUUUCAUCGAACAGUUUGAGAUUGUUUUCACACACUAAUUUGUUGGCUACCCUCCCUCGGCCCAAUUUGUAGGCUACCACACCUCCACUUCUAAAACGCCUUUCCUUUUUCCUCCCAAAAUUUUUUGCACAGGAUUUCACUUCUAUCAAAACCUUGGAAUGUGGAUCCAUAGCAUUACGGCAAUUGUAUUCCCCCUUUCUAAACUUCGUUGAUGCACUUAGCUUGGCCCACUCCAUAAAAAUUUUCCGGUUCCGCCCUGACUAGUGAUAACUCUCUUCGACAAAAAAUUUCAUUGUAAUUGUGAUUAAAAU
RNAcentral lists this unclassified non-coding RNA (315 nucleotides) under Hevea brasiliensis (rubber tree). The record is from RNAcentral. Lineage: Eukaryota; Viridiplantae; Streptophyta; Magnoliopsida; Malpighiales; Euphorbiaceae.